CAAACAAACAAAAGACCAAACAAAAACAACAGAGGUUCUACCUUCAUUCGUGCAGUCAUCGAAUAUAUCUGCUAAGCACUGACAAGCAUUGGUAAGGAUCUGCUCCGAACACAGAACCUUCCCCCACCUCAACACCACCACUCCCGCCCCCAGAAAUGGAAGUCAAGGCAGCACACGCCUGUGACUCCAGCACUUGGGAGUGGAGAACGUAGGAUUUGGAACACCUCUGUUGACUACAGAGGGAAUUCAAGACCUUGUCUCAAAAACAUGCAACAAACAAAGCUACAAUAAAGGGAUGGUGUUCUCUAGGAAGCACCUGCUGGAGGAGGAGUAGACUUUAAAGAUCAGCCCUAGGGGAAAGGGAUAUAAAGUCAACCAAACAGAGAACUCAGUGAAACCUUCUACAUGGGUGUUACUGGGGCUCCUGUCCACACACUUGCCACAACUGCAUAUAUACCUUCAAUUUAGAAAGAAUUCACAAGCACGCUUGUUUUAUGGCGUCAGCUCUCCGGCCUUAGAAGUUUUCACUGGAACAGACAAAAACCGCUGUACCCAGAGCAGCCUUGAGUUCUCCACAGUCACCCACUUGUCUCCAGGGAGGAAGGAAGGAACUCAAGAGUCUCAAAAUAGCAGCCCGGUCCUAGUCCUUCAACAUGUGCAGGUUACAUCACUUCGCAGGGCUAGCUGUGACAUCACUUCUAGACCUGAACGCAACCCACCCCGCCGCUGAGAAAAUGGAAAAUGCUGAUCCGCAGCCUCAGGACUUCCUUGCCCAGAGGCGAUUUCUUGUCCCGCCUAAACCUGACAGCAGGGCAGGUGGGUGUAGGGCCCAGCAAAGGAGCCUUUGAAAGCAGGAACCCAGACUCUGCAGGUCAGCUUGGAUCAGAUCCAGACUGGGUUCCACCCCACCACACACCCCCACCCCCUGGUGAUAAAGCAAUCUGUUUAUGGAGACGCUUUUGUGAGGUUUACAGAAUCUCUGCAUGAGAGGGAGCUGGUUCUGGCCUGGUCUCUAGGUUACCCACCACACCAAGGUGCACAAACACGGUAGGACAGAGAAGAGGGGGGUAAAAAGAGAAGCUGGCCGGCCUGGGCCCCCUCCCGGGCCGCCGUGAAACGCGCUUUAAUUGCUUCAAAGAGCCCUUCUCAAUGGGGUUUCAGAGGCGAGGGAGCGGGUCCCCGGCGAGGGCUCCUUUCCGGCUGGCCAGCAUUCCUGGGCGCUGCGAGGGGAGAGCCCGCGGCUCAUUUCCAUGCCUGUCGCAUACUGCCUCCGUUGUGCCGGGCUGGGCCGCGAGGGGAGCGCGGCUGGCAGCGAACAAAGCCCCAUUCAUCCCGGGGGACUGCUUCCUCCCGGACCAGCCGUGGCCGCAGAUGGGCUGGCUAGGGCACGCCAUCCAUCCCCAGGCUGGGGAGCAGGGCCCCGCCCGUGCACAAAGUGGUGAUGCAGGGCGCCCCCGGGCUGCGGUACCCAGGCCUCCACAGCAGGGGAGAGGCUGGGCCGGGACAGGCAGACACUGAGGCUUUUCAGCCGGGAAAUCCCGUGUCCUCGCCGGCUUCUUGAGAGCGAGGACGUCAGUUUCCACAGCCCUCUUCCCUACUCCGGCCCCCUGGGAUGGUACGGUCCGUCUUCCCAGUUGUGAAGGGACUUUGUUUCUCCUCCGUGGCCUCUGCAGUCCCCACGAAAGGGUCACUUCCUGACUUUUGUGUCUCUUCAAUCCAGUGCCUUCAAAGUUCCUCCCCUCUGGUUGUGACUAAGUACAUAACUGCGAGGCUUAUCCAUAAGGUUUUUCAGAAUUCAAACAUCCCUUUAGGUUAAAGACUGGGACUGUGGCUUCGAAAUUAACAUCGUUUGUUGUUGAUUAUUUCCCUCUCCACUGCACUGCUGCGUGUCUGGGGUGGGUGGGGGAUACAAAGAAAACACACUUGUACUGCAACCGUGUUUGCACACUACUAGAGCUUUUCCGUCGGUCCCACGUGUUAGACCCCGACCAGAGAAAGCUACAGAACUCUAACGUUGAACAGAAGCAAGUCUGGGUCACUUUUCCUUCACUCUGAAGAAGCCCCUCUAGGCUGGUUUCCACAUCCCAAGACAGAGACAGGCUCCAGACACAUUCCUCCCCAGGGGAUGCAACAGGGCAUGGCAGGAUCAAACAGCCACCAGACACUGGGGAGACUCGCCCUAAUCUAUCCAUCUUACAGAUAAGGAGCAGAUAAGAUCUAAGAGGGGAAAGGAUUUGUUCACCUCAGGCGGAAGCUGGUUCCUCUCGGCAAAAAAAAAAAAAAAAAAAAAAACUCAAAUAAAAACACAACGACCAUCUUCAAAAAGAAAAUCACCAAGAAACAUUACUGUUCACCAAGAUUUACCUUUCUGCUUGAAUCAAAAGCGGCCUCCCCUAUGGUGCACAAGAAUUGCUCCUAUGUUGCUUCUACUUCCUGCGUUUGGAACAACACUGGCCUCUCUCCAAAAAGACCUCUUUCCUCUCAGAGGGAAUAACAACCUUCAAAAUGUUCACAUGAAGAUAGAUUGACUCUGCACUGGUUAUUUCUGAAGAAAUGGGGGGGGGGGCUUGGUUUCUAAGUGCUUUACACACUGCCUCCCUCACUCCUCACGGUAGGCUCUGAAUUGGAGUCUGUAACUUUUCCUAUUUCACUGAAAAAGAAACCAAAGCUGAGAGAGACAGAGAUUAAGAUCACACAUAGGUUAAUUGGUCUUAGCUGACUUUCUGAUCUCUUCCGCACCGGGAUUUUGCUUACUAAAAGGCGCUACACAGCCACAGGGCAACAAACCGGGACAUAGGGAGGUCCUAGGCAUGCACCCGGCAGCAGGGGGAGGGGAUGGGAGUGGGGAGGUGCCUCCUGCUACCUGGAGACAGAGCAGGCUGAGGACUUGACAACUGACCAAGGAAUGUUUCUUCCAGUGCGCAAAGUGGUGGUUCCAAGAAGCCCAAGAUGGAUUCUAACUCAGCCUUUUUAGAAGAAGAUGACCUUGGAUUCCUGAACUAUAUGACUCCAACUCCUGAGUGCUGGGAUUAGGGAUGCCCAUGCCUGCUUUUACACUUACACGGUGCUGAAUAUAAAACAGCGUCAUGCAACUGCUCUACACUCCCAAUCUUGUCUGUACUAUUUAAUGACAUCCAUAAUUAGGAAAAUACUAACAAAAAUAUGAAAAUAAUAGAAGACUAAGCUCUUUGUGCCCUCUGACAAAUCCUGGCAUUACUCAUCAAAUAAAUUAUUCAAAUACUUCAUCUCAGUUUGAUUGAGAUGCAAAAGCAACUCAAGUGUCAGACAUUGGCAAUCUUCUAUUGCAACAAGCACAAGCCCCUAGCAAGUCCAUGUGUAUGUCCUUUGGUGGAAGCAAGUAGUGAAAAAUUCCAGAUACGGUCAGAUGGCAAAGGUUAUCACAGAGUCAAUACAGGACAAUAGCAAGAACCAGACUCCAGAAUCAGGCAGACCUGGUUCACAUCCUCGCUCCAUCAUUAACAUGGAUACUGACUUGAGCAAGUUAGUUAACCUCCAGGCAAAGAUGAUACUAAAUGUCUGAGUAUUCUUGUAAGUGAAGUAAGAGAAUAAACUGGUUGCUUCAGUACCUCAAGCAUAAUAACUGUAUCAGUUACUUAAUAUUCCAGGCAAAGUCACUGUAAAACUUAAGGAAGAAGCACAACGCACCAACCAUCUAUCUGCUCAAGAGUCUAUGGGCUAGCGGUUUGGGCUGAAUCCUGUACAGUAACAGUUGGACCCGAUGAUGCAUUGACGAUGUUGAUUAGUCUGGAGAAGUCUCACUCACAAGUCUUGAGACUACUGUGAAAUAGUUGGGAAAGCUGCAAUGGUGGGAGACCCCUCUUGUUUACCAAAUACUACUGCUUUCUACAGAGUGUCUCAUUCUAAUAGAGAAUGGCUGGGACUUCUUCAGCAUUCUAGAUGACAAGGCCUAAUGCACAGUGCUUUGCCAAGCCUCUAACUGCGUUGUGUGCUUCCUAAUGUCUUAUUGAACCAAACAAGUCACAUGGUGCAGACCAGCACUCAGGAUUUGUUAAGAGCUAUUUCUUUUGAACUGAUGCAAUGACUUUGUGAACCACUUUAACUUAAAUGCUAAUGGCUACCAUCACAAUGGCCCUCAGUUAUAUAAGCCUCUUCAGUAUGGAACUUGAGACGACACAGAAGAACUUCAUAUCAAUGAUUACUUGUCGUGGCCUGGCAUGUCUCAGCCCCAAACCACAGAAGCCACGAGGUCUGGCCCAAGAGGGGGAGCAUGGACUUGGGAAUUCCUAGUAACCCAAUGGCAAUAAAGACCAGACAUAGAC
This 4301-nucleotide long non-coding RNA is filed under the name Cricetulus griseus (Chinese hamster). RNAcentral's name for it is "lncRNA (ENSCGRG00015029041.1)". Lineage: Eukaryota; Metazoa; Chordata; Mammalia; Rodentia; Cricetidae. The record is from RNAcentral.